Molecule: transfer RNA, 77 nt
Filed under: Trichonephila inaurata madagascariensis
Lineage: Eukaryota; Metazoa; Arthropoda; Arachnida; Araneae; Nephilidae
Description: tRNA-Cys
Rfam family: tRNA
About the family: Transfer RNA (tRNA) molecules are approximately 80 nucleotides in length. Their secondary structure includes four short double-helical elements and three loops (D, anti-codon, and T loops). Further hydrogen bonds mediate the characteristic L-shaped molecular structure. tRNAs have two regions of fundamental functional importance: the anti-codon, which is responsible for specific mRNA codon recognition, and the 3' end, to which the tRNAs corresponding amino acid is attached (by aminoacyl-tRNA synthetases). tRNAs cope with the degeneracy of the genetic code in two manners: having more than one tRNA (with a specific anti-codon) for a particular amino acid; and 'wobble' base-pairing, i.e. permitting non-standard base-pairing at the 3rd anti-codon position.
Source: RNAcentral
GAGGGUAUAGUUCAGUGGUACAGCAUUCGACUGCAGAUCGAGAGGUCUCCGGUUCAAACCCGGAUGCUCCUUCUUCA